UUAUAGUCGCAUCCAUACGGUUUGCAGGAGAAACACUUCUUCUGCAUUUAAAAGGGAAUCUGGUGCGUGAAACACUGCACGGUAUUCAUCAAGCCAGGGCUGCCCCCGCAACUGUGAUCAGCGAGUUGUUUGCGAACACUUUAAGCCACUGAAGUAAUUCGGGAAGGCGACAGCAAAUAAUCAUGACCUGAGAGCCAGGAGACCGACCGUCAGUUUUUUUACUUG
RNAcentral lists this non-coding RNA (225 nucleotides) under Methylophilus sp. The record is from RNAcentral. Lineage: Bacteria; Pseudomonadati; Pseudomonadota; Betaproteobacteria; Nitrosomonadales; Methylophilaceae.